UACGUAGGCAGCAAGCGUUGUUCGGAGUUACUGGGCGUAAAGGGUGUGUAGGCGGCUUCGUAAGUUCGGUGUGAAAUCUCCCGGCUCAACUGGGAGGGUGCGCCGAAAACUGCGAAGCUGGAGCGCAGGAGAGGAAAGCAGAAUUCCUGGUGUAGCGGUGAAAUGCGUAGAUAUCAGGAGGAACACCGGUGGCGAAGGCGGGUCUCUGGGCCGAUAUUGACGCUGAGGAGCGAAAGCGUGGGGAGCGAACAGG
RNAcentral lists this ribosomal RNA (253 nucleotides) under uncultured bacterium. Its description in RNAcentral is "partial 16S ribosomal RNA". It matches the Rfam family "Bacterial small subunit ribosomal RNA", at positions 524 to 776 of the family's 1533-position model. The record is from RNAcentral.